AGUGAACGCUGGCGGUAGGCCUAACACAUGCAAGUCGAACGGCAGCACAGUAAGAGCUUGCUCUUACGGGUGGCGAGUGGCGGACGGGUGAGGAAUACAUCGGAAUCUACUUUUUCGUGGGGGAUAACGUAGGGAAACUUACGCUAAUACCGCAUACGACCUACGGGUGAAAGCAGGGGAUCUUCAGACCUUGCGCGAUUGAAUGAGCCGAUGUCGGAUUAGCUAGUUGGCGGGGUAAAGGCCCACCAAGGCGACGAUCCGUAGCUGGUCUGAGAGGAUGAUCAGCCACACUGGAACUGAGACACGGUCCAGACUCCUACGGGAGGCAGCAGUGGGGAAUAUUGGACAAAGGGCGCAAGCCUGAUCCAGCCAUACCGCGUGGGUGAAGAAGGCCUUCGGGUCGUAAAGCCCUUUUGUUGGGAAAGAAAAGCAGCAGGUUAAUACCCCGCUGUUCUGACGGUACCCAAAGAAUAAGCACCGGCUAACUUCGUG
RNAcentral lists this ribosomal RNA (492 nucleotides) under uncultured bacterium. RNAcentral's name for it is "partial 16S ribosomal RNA". It matches the Rfam family "Bacterial small subunit ribosomal RNA", at positions 29 to 507 of the family's 1533-position model. The record is from RNAcentral.